This 90-nucleotide ribosomal RNA is filed under the name Prosthecobacter dejongeii. Lineage: Bacteria; Pseudomonadati; Verrucomicrobiota; Verrucomicrobiia; Verrucomicrobiales; Verrucomicrobiaceae. The record is from RNAcentral.
ACCCGUUCCCAUUCCGAACACGGAAGUGAAACGCUGUUGCGCCGAUGAUAGUUGGGCGAUAGGCCCUGCGAAAGUAGGUCGCCGCCAGUU